ACGCAGGCGGGUUCUUACACAUGCAAGUCGAACGAUGAAGCCCUUCGGGGUGGAUUAGUGGCGAACGGGUGAGUAACACGUGGGCAAUCUGCCCUUCACUCUGGGACAAGCCCUGGAAACGGGGUCUAAUACCGGAUACAACCACCGGCCGCAUGGUCUGGUGGUGGAAAGCUCCGGCGGUGAAGGAUGAGCCCGCGGCCUAUCAGCUUGUUGGUGAGGUAGUGGCUCACCAAGGCGACGACGGGUAGCCGGCCUGAGAGGGCGACCGGCCACACUGGGACUGAGACACGGCCCAGACUCCUACGGGAGGCAGCAGUGGGGAAUAUUGCACAAUGGGCGAAAGCCUGAUGCAGCGACGCCGCGUGAGGGAUGACGGCCUUCGGGUUGUAAACCUCUUUCAGCAGGGAAGAAGCGAGAGUGACGGUACCUGCAGAAGAAGCGCCGGCUAACUACGUGCCAGCAGCCGCGGUAAUACGUAGGGCGCGAGCGUUGUCCGGAAUUAUUGGGCGUAAAGAGCUCGUAGGGCGGUCUGUCGCGUCGGAUGUGAAAGCCCGGGGGCUUAACCCCCGGGUCUGCAUUCGAUACGGGCAGACUAGAGUGUGGUAGGGGAGAUCGGAAUUCCUGGUGUAGCGGUGAAAUGCGCAGAUAUCAGGAGGAACACCGGUGGCGAAGGCGGAUCUCUGGGCCAUUACUGACGCUGAGGAGCGAAAGCGUGGGGAGCGAACAGGAUUAGAUACCCCUGGUAGUCCACGCCGUAAACGGUGGGAACUAGGUGUUGGCGACAUUCCACGUCGUCGGUGCCGCAGCUAACGCAUUAAGUUCCCCGCCUGGGGAGUACGGCCGCAAGGCUAAAACUCAAAGGAAUUGACGGGGGGCCCGCACAAGCAGCGGAGCAUGUGGCUUAAUUCGACGCAACGCGAAGAACCUUACCAAGGCUUGACAUACACCGGAAACGGCCAGAGAUGGUCGCCCCCUUGUGGUCGGUGUACAGGUGGUGCAUGGCUGUCGUCAGCUCGUGUCGUGAGAUGUUGGGUUAAGUCCCGCAACGAGCGCAACCCUUGUUCUGUGUUGCCAGCAUGCCCUUCGGGGUGAUGGGGACUCACAGGAGACUGCCGGGGUCAACUCGGAGGAAGGUGGGGACGACGUCAAGUCAUCAUGCCCCUUAUGUCUUGGGCUGCACACGUGCUACAAUGGCAGGUACAAUGAGCUGCGAUGCCGUGAGGCUGAGCGAAUCUCAAAAAGCCUGUCUCAGUUCGGAUUGGGGUCUGCAACUCGACCCCAUGAAGUCGGAGUUGCUAGUAAUCGCAGAUCAGCAUUGCUGCGGUGAAUACGUUCCCGGGCCUUGUACACACCGCCCGUCACGUCACGAAAGUCGGUAACACCCGAAGCCGGUGGCCCAACCCCUUGUGGGAGGGAGCUUCGAAGUGAACUGACUG
Molecule: ribosomal RNA, 1436 nt
Filed under: Streptomyces polymachus
Lineage: Bacteria; Bacillati; Actinomycetota; Actinomycetes; Kitasatosporales; Streptomycetaceae
Description: bacterial SSU rRNA
Rfam family: Bacterial small subunit ribosomal RNA
Source: RNAcentral